GAAUUGCGAUAAGUAAUGUGAAUUGCAGAUUUCCAGUGAAUCAUCGAAUCUUUGAACGCACCUUGCGCUCCUUGGUAUUCCGAGGAGCAUGCCUGUUUGAGUGUCAUCGAAUUCUCAAUCAUGUCGUGUGUGCAAGCAUGGACAUGACUUGGAGUUGGGGGUUGCUGGCCGUCCACAGGGCAGUCGGCUCUCCUUAAAUGCAUUAGCGAACGUGGCGUCCGUCUCGAGAAGACGUGCACGGCCUUUGACGUGAUAAUGAUCGUCAUCGUCGGAGCAUCUCACUUGGGAUCAUGUAUGCCAACCGAUCGCUCCGAACCAGAACCGGAGGGCUUCCCUGCUGGUCUGAAGUGAAGCGGAGUCAAGCUUUAGCUACUAGCCUACUUUCGAGCAGGCGAACGCGGCAAGACAAGGCUUCCAUCAGAUCCUCUGUCGGAAGCUUCCGCUCGAAAGGGGGCAAAAACGAGGACAAGGACAGAAGACGGUCGGACAGACCUUCCGCAGACUGCCAGUCCAGGACGGACAAAGUGGAGCUCUGGCUUACUAGCUUGCGAGAGCGAGCGAACGGCAGGGCGAGACUUUUGUCAUGAUCGGACUGGCGGUUCGGAGGCCGCUCGAAGUCAAAGUCCCUAGGUCCGAACCGUGGACGUCCUUCCAUUUCGAUCCAAAGGUUGACCUCAAAUCAGGCAGGACUACC
RNAcentral lists this ribosomal RNA (694 nucleotides) under uncultured Boletellus. RNAcentral's name for it is "eukaryotic LSU rRNA". The stretch from base 1 to 106 matches the Rfam family "5.8S ribosomal RNA", at positions 50 to 154 of the family's 154-position model. The record is from RNAcentral. Lineage: Eukaryota; Fungi; Basidiomycota; Agaricomycetes; Boletales; Boletaceae.